CUUAAAGGAAGUUGACGGGGCCGCACAAGCGGCGGAGCAUGCGGAUUAAUUCGAUGCAACGCGAAGAACCUUACCAAGGCUUGACAUACACCGGUAACGCCCAGAGAUGGGUGCCCCUUUGUGGUCGGUGGACAGGUGGUGCAUGGUUGUCGUCAGCUCGUGUCGUGAGAUGUUGGGUUAAGUCCCGCAACGAGCGCAACCCUCGUCCUAUGUUGCCAGCGGGUCAUGCCGGGGACUCAUGGGAGACUGCCGGUGAUAAACCGGAGGAAGGCGGGGAUGACGUCAAGUCCUCAUGGCCCUUACAUCCCGGGCUACACACGUGCUACAAUGGCAGGUACAGAGGGCUGCGAAGCCGCGAGGUGGAGCGAAUCCCAGAAAACCUGUCUCAGUCCGGAUUGAAGUCUGCAACUCGACUUCAUGAAGGCGGAAUCGCUAGUAACCGCGAAUCAGCAGGUCGCGGUGAAUACGUUCCCGGGCCUU
RNAcentral lists this ribosomal RNA (480 nucleotides) under uncultured Curtobacterium sp. RNAcentral describes it as "bacterial SSU rRNA". It matches the Rfam family "Bacterial small subunit ribosomal RNA", at positions 900 to 1382 of the family's 1533-position model. The record is from RNAcentral. Lineage: Bacteria; Bacillati; Actinomycetota; Actinomycetes; Micrococcales; Microbacteriaceae.